GACGAACGCUGGCGGCGUGCCUAAUACAUGCAAGUAGAACGCUGAAGGAGGAGCUUGCUUCUCUGGAUGAGUUGCGAACGGGUGAGUAACGCGUAGGUAACCUGCCUGGUAGCGGGGGAUAACUAUUGGAAACGAUAGCUAAUACCGCAUAACAGUAGAUAUCGCAUGAUAUCUACUUGAAAGGUGCAAUUGCAUCACUACCAGAUGGACCUGCGUUGUAUUAGCUAGUUGGUGAGGUAACGGCUCACCAAGGCGACGAUACAUAGCCGACCUGAGAGGGUGAUCGGCCACACUGGGACUGAGACACGGCCCAGACUCCUACGGGAGGCAGCAGUAGGGAAUCUUCGGCAAUGGACGGAAGUCUGACCGAGCAACGCCGCGUGAGUGAAGAAGGGUUUCGGAUCGUAAAGCUCUGUUGUAAGAGAAGAACGAGUGUGAGAGUGGAAAGUUCACACUGUGACGGUAUCUUACCAGAAAGGGACGGCUAACUACGCG
This 495-nucleotide ribosomal RNA is filed under the name uncultured bacterium. RNAcentral describes it as "partial 16S ribosomal RNA". It matches the Rfam family "Bacterial small subunit ribosomal RNA", at positions 28 to 507 of the family's 1533-position model. The record is from RNAcentral.